UGCGUAGGCGGCUUCGUAUGUCGGAUGUGAAAUCCCACGGCUCAACCGUGGAACUGCAUCCGAAACUGCGGGGCUUGAGUGCAGGAGGGGAGAGCGGAAUUCUUGGUGUAGCGGUGAAAUGCGUUGAUAUCAAGAGGAACACCGGUGGCGAAGGCGGCUCUCUGGAAUGUUACUGACGCUGAGGCACGAAAGUUGGGGGAGCAAACAGGAUUAGAUACCCUGGUAGUCC
Molecule: ribosomal RNA, 229 nt
Filed under: uncultured bacterium
Lineage: Bacteria
Description: partial 16S ribosomal RNA
Rfam family: Bacterial small subunit ribosomal RNA
Source: RNAcentral